GGGUAUUGCGGGCGCGAAUUCGCCCUUACUCCUACAGUGAGGCAGCAGUGAGGAUAUUGGUCGAUGGACGAAAGUCUGAACCAGCCAUGCCGCGUGCAGGAUGAAUGCCCUACGGGUUGUAAACUGCUUUUAUAUAGGAAGAAACCCCUUUACGUGUAAGGGGCUGACGGUACUAUGAGAAUAAGGACCGGCUAACUCUGUGCCAGCGGCCGCGGUAAGACAGAGGUGGCAAGCGUUGUUCGGAUUUACUGGGCUUAAAGGGCGUGUAGGCGUCCUGAUUAGUCAUAUGUGGAAGCCUUGGGCUUAACCCAAGAAGUGCAUUUGAAACUGUCGGGAUUGAGUCGUGCAUGGGAGGGCGGAAUUCCUGGUGUAGCGGUGAAAUGCGUACAUAUCAAGAGGAAGGCCGGUGGUGAAGACGGCCCUCUAGGCAAUGACUGACGCUGAGGCGCGAAAGCGUGCGUAGCAAACAGGAUUAGAUACCCUGGUAGUCCACGCCCUAUACGGUGCGUACUACGUGUGGGUGGCGAUAGUCAUCCGUGCCGAAGGGAAACCAUUAAUGACGCCGCCUGGGGAGUACUGUCGCAAGAUUA
Molecule: ribosomal RNA, 590 nt
Filed under: uncultured bacterium
Lineage: Bacteria
Description: bacterial SSU rRNA
Rfam family: Bacterial small subunit ribosomal RNA
Source: RNAcentral